GGACAGCUGAGAAGUCCGACAAUAGGACGAAACGGUCGUCCAGUGC
RNAcentral lists this non-coding RNA (46 nucleotides) under Schistosoma margrebowiei. The record is from RNAcentral. Lineage: Eukaryota; Metazoa; Platyhelminthes; Trematoda; Strigeidida; Schistosomatidae.